RNAcentral lists this ribosomal RNA (708 nucleotides) under uncultured Bacilli bacterium. Its description in RNAcentral is "bacterial SSU rRNA". It matches the Rfam family "Bacterial small subunit ribosomal RNA", at positions 60 to 728 of the family's 1533-position model. The record is from RNAcentral. Lineage: Bacteria; Bacillati; Bacillota; Bacilli.
AGUCGAGCGAGCUUGCUUAGAUGAAUUUGGUGCUUGCACCAAAUGAAACUAGAUACAAGCGAGCGGCGGACGGGUGAGUAACACGUGGGUAACCUGCCCAAGAGACUGGGAUAACACCUGGAAACAGAUGCUAAUACCGGAUAACAACACUAGACGCAUGUCUAGAGUUUAAAAGAUGGUUCUGCUAUCACUCUUGGAUGGACCUGCGGUGCAUUAGCUAGUUGGUAAGGUAACGGCUUACCAAGGCAAUGAUGCAUAGCCGAGUUGAGAGACUGAUCGGCCACAUUGGGACUGAGACACGGCCCAAACUCCUACGGGAGGCAGCAGUAGGGAAUCUUCCACAAUGGACGCAAGUCUGAUGGAGCAACGCCGCGUGAGUGAAGAAGGGUUUCGGCUCGUAAAGCUCUGUUGGUAGUGAAGAAAGAUAGAGGUAGUAACUGGCCUUUAUUUGACGGUAAUUACUUAGAAAGUCACGGCUAACUACGUGCCAGCAGCCGCGGUAAUACGUAGGUGGCAAGCGUUGUCCGGAUUUAUUGGGCGUAAAGCGAGUGCAGGCGGUUCAAUAAGUCUGAUGUGAAAGCCUUCGGCUCAACCGGAGAAUUGCAUCAGAAACUGUUGAACUUGAGUGCAGAAGAGGAGAGUGGAACUCCAUGUGUAGCGGUGGAAUGCGUAGAUAUAUGGAAGAACACCAGUGGCGAAGGCGGCUCU